GCUUCUGCCUGGGUGAGCUACGUGGAAGACAUCGUCAGGUGGGGAGUUUGGCUGGGGCGGCACAUCUGUUAAAUGAUAACACAGGUGUCCUAAGGUGAGCUCAAUGAGAACAGAAAUCUCAUGUAGAACAAAAGGGUAAAAGCUCACUUGAUUUUGAUUUUCAGUAUGAAUACCACCCGUGAAAGCGUGGCCUAUCGAUCCUUUAGUAAUGGUGAAUUUUAAGCUAGAGGUGUCAG
This is a ribosomal RNA of Phytophthora infestans T30-4, 236 nucleotides long. The record is from RefSeq and is a predicted model, not a curated record. Lineage: Eukaryota; Oomycota; Peronosporomycetes; Peronosporales; Peronosporaceae.